GUAGGGAAUAUUGGGCAAUGGAUGAAAGUCUGACCCAGCCAUGCCGCGUGCCGGAUGAAGGCGCUCAGCGUUGUAAACGGCUUUUAUUCGGGAAGAAGAGCAGGGAUGCGUCCCUGUGUGACGGUACUGAAUGAAUAAGCACCGGCUAACUCCGUGCCAGCAGCCGCGGUAAUACGGAGGGUGCGAGCGUUGUCCGGAUUUAUUGGGUUUAAAGGGUGCGUAGGUGGCCAAAUAAGUCAGUGGUGAAAUACGGUUGCUCAACAAUCGAGGUGCCAUGGAUACUGCUUGGCUUGAAAUAAUUGGAGGCUGCCGGAAUGGAUGGUGUAGCGGUGAAAUGCAUAGAUAUCAUCCAGAACACCGAUUGCGAAGGCAGGUGGCUACGAUUUAUUUGACACUGAGGCACGAAAGCAUGGGGAGCAAACAGGAUUAGAAACCCGGGUAGUCC
This 445-nucleotide ribosomal RNA is filed under the name uncultured bacterium. RNAcentral describes it as "partial 16S ribosomal RNA". It matches the Rfam family "Bacterial small subunit ribosomal RNA", at positions 354 to 796 of the family's 1533-position model. The record is from RNAcentral.